AGAUGGCGACCGGCGCACGGGUGAGUAACACGUAUCCAACCUGCCGAUAACUCGGGGAUAGCCUUUCGAAAGAAAGAUUAAUACCCGAUGGUAUAAUCAGACCGCAUGGUCUUGUUAUUAAAGAAUUUCGGUUAUCGAUGGGGAGUGCGUUCCAUUAGGCAGUUGGUGAGGUAACGGCUCACCAAACCUUCGAUGGAUAGGGGUUCUGAGAGGAAGGUCCCCCACAUUGGAACUGAGACACGGUCCAA
This 248-nucleotide ribosomal RNA is filed under the name uncultured bacterium. RNAcentral describes it as "partial 16S ribosomal RNA". It matches the Rfam family "Bacterial small subunit ribosomal RNA", at positions 86 to 334 of the family's 1533-position model. The record is from RNAcentral.